UGUAUGCAAACUUUUCUCUCAUCUUGAGUCUCUCAUCUAAGUUCUUUGCUCUACAUCUCAACCUCACCAAAUAUCUCUUGCAAACUUUUCUCCUAUUUUGAGUUCUCUGCUCUACAUCUCAACAACGAGGUGGGCUGGUCUAACACAUUUACUCUCAAUACAUCCCUCUUCUCAUUCAUUCUUCCCUGUUCUCACAAACUUCAUAAGGCCAAAGAGAAAAAUGUUGAAGGUUUACGCUUAUUGAUUAGCGUGGUACAACUUUUUUAACUGGUUUACAAAUUUUAGCAAAAAUAGUCUUAGCAAAAAUGUUGCGUGGCCCCUUUUGCUUUCUUAUGGGAAAGGCCGCCAUGUACGCUCUCCGUUUAGCCUCUCCCCCCAGUCUCGGUUGCAAGGCCCUGUCGCCGGGCGCUGGAAAUAAUCACACCACCAUGAAGGCCGGCGACGAUGUACAUGUAAGAAGAGUGAGUAGCGGAAGUUUAGUUCGCGAUGCGGUCACUAAGCCGGAGAAGCAGUUGCCGGUAGUGUCUCCGGGGUCGUUGACUAGUGAGGCUGGACGCCUUAUUCCCAAUCUGGCUUGCCGCCAUGGAAAUGAGUCCUAUAGCUACAGAGCCAUGGAGUAUUUAACCGCCAUAUUGUCAUCCAAUAAAGUGUACGAUGUAGCAAUUGAGACGCCGUUGCAGCUCUCCUCCAUGCUCACCGCCCGGCUGGGGAACAAUAUCUGGCUCAAGAGGGAAGAUCUUCAACCUGUCUUUGCGUUCAAACUUGGAGGAGCUUAUAAUAUCUUAGAAAAGAAACCACUCCAUAUACAUAUUCUUUACAUAUACGGAAGUUUUCUUGGCCUAUAGCUUUAACAGUCACACCUUCUGCAAAACCUCCUACUUGCUCCAGCAUUACUCUCUUCCCAUGAUGCAAGGACAAUGCUAAAACAUUUGCAUCACUGGGCUCAACCCCGAUUAUCUUUGCUUCGGGGUUAACCAUUUUAAAGUAAGAAGCAACACCUGCAAUUAAUCCACCUCUGCCAACCGGAAUAAAUAUGGCACGGAUGGUAAAUUUCUUUUCCGACGGUACCCUGCCCAGGCCAUGACAUUUGUGCCAUAUUUAUUCCGGUUGGCGGAGGUGGAUUAAUUGCAAGUGUUGCUUCUUAUUUUAAAAUGGUUUACCCCGAAGCAAAGAUAAUCGGGGUUGAGCCCUGUGAUGCAAAUGCUUUAGCAUUGUCCUUGCAUCAUGGGAAGAGAGUAAUGCUGGAGCAAGUAGGAGGUUUUGCAGAAGGUGUGGCUGUUAAAGCUGUAGGCCAAGAAAACUUCCGUAUUUGUAAAGAAUAUGUAUAUGGAGUGGUUUUUGUUGGCCGUAAUGCAUCAAUAAAGGAUAUGUUUGAAGAUAAAAGGAGCAUUUUAGAGCCGGCAGGUGCUCUUUCCCUUGCGGGAGCUGAAGCAUACUCCAACUAUUACAACCUCGAAGGACCAAAACAUAGUAGCAAUAAGCCAAUAACCACCGGAGUAAACAUAAAUUUUGAUAAACUGAGAUUGGUAGCAGAUGUUGGUAGAGAACUUGAAGUGUAAGAGACAUGGAAUUUGGUGACUACUUUUUUUAUGAAAAAGUUCAAUUAGCUUUAAAUGUCUUUUUUUAUGGAUGUGUAGUUAUAUAAUUCUGAAUGUAUA
Ipomoea nil (Japanese morning glory) is the source of this 1658-nucleotide RNA transcript. It is a transcript of the gene named threonine dehydratase biosynthetic, chloroplastic-like, with no coding region annotated. NCBI's taxonomy places the organism in Eukaryota, Viridiplantae, Streptophyta, Magnoliopsida, Solanales, Convolvulaceae. The transcript is spliced from 4 exons. The record is from RefSeq and is a predicted model, not a curated record.